Molecule: ribosomal RNA, 296 nt
Filed under: uncultured bacterium
Lineage: Bacteria
Description: partial 16S ribosomal RNA
Rfam family: Bacterial small subunit ribosomal RNA
Source: RNAcentral
CUAUGCGCCUUGCCAGCCCGCUCAGGUGUGCCAGCAGCGCGGUAAUACAGAGGUCUCAAGCGUUGUUCGGAAUCACUGGGCGUAAAGCGUGCGUAGGCGGUUUCGUAAGUCGUGUGUGAAAGGCGGGGGCUCAACCCCCGGACUGCACAUGAUACUGCGAGACUAGAGUAAUGGGGGGGAACCGGAAUUCUCGGUGUAGCAGUGAAAUGCGUAGAUAUCGAGAGGAACACUCGUGGCGAAGGCGGGUUCCUGGACAUUAACUGACGCUGAGGCACGAAGGCCAGGGAGCGAAAGGG